AGAGUUUGAUUAUGGCUCAGGAUGAACGCUGGCGGCGUGCUUAACACAUGCAAGUCGAACGAAGCACUGGUUUGAAGUUUCGGACAGAUAGACCUUUGACUUAGUGGCGGACGGGUGAGUAACGCGUGGGCAACCUGCCGUAUGCAGGGGGACAACAGUUGGAAACGACUGCUAAUACCGCAUAAGCGCACGGGGACGCAUGUUUCUGUGUGAAAAGCCUUAACGGCAUACGAUGGGCCCGCGUUGGAUUAGGUAGUUGGUGAGGUAACGGCCCACCAAGCCGACGAUCCAUAGCCGACCUGAGAGGGUGACCGGCCACAUUGGGACUGAGACACGGCCCAAACUCCUACGGGAGGCAGCAGUGGGGAAUAUUGCACAAUGGGGGAAACCCUGAUGCAGCGACGCCGCGUGAGUGAAGAAGUAUUUCGGUAUGUAAAGCUCUAUCAGCAGGGAAGAAAAUGACGGUACCUGACUAAGAAGCCCCGGCUAACUACGUGCCAGCCGCCGC
Molecule: ribosomal RNA, 508 nt
Filed under: uncultured bacterium
Lineage: Bacteria
Description: bacterial SSU rRNA
Rfam family: Bacterial small subunit ribosomal RNA
Source: RNAcentral